Non-coding RNA from Chiloscyllium plagiosum (whitespotted bambooshark), 1187 nucleotides. Lineage: Eukaryota; Metazoa; Chordata; Chondrichthyes; Orectolobiformes; Hemiscylliidae. The record is from RefSeq and is a predicted model, not a curated record.
UGUUGAAGAAUACUUCAAUACAUUCAUUCCCCUUUUUUUUCAAGUUCAGCUGCACUUUGUGAAAAUUCAAGGCUUGAAGCUGUUCUUUUUAUUUAUUUCUACAUGGACUAACAUCCCUCACUAUUCCCACCCCCUUCCCCAUCUCUGUUGCAGCACACGGCAGAAUCUAAAAGACAAGUAAAAGUCAGUCUGCCUUUAAAAAGAUAAAAUAGGUUUUGUGGGAUUUUUCUUUUAGGUUUUCAAUGAAACAAUGUAUUUUAUCAGCAAGCAAGCUCAAAUGCCAGCACAACCAAAGUAUCUAAGAAGGCCACACCUGGAGAAGCACUUUAAGAUGGGACAUGCAGCGAUCUGUUAGAGCUAUGGUGCAGAACUCACUUCAACACCAAAAGGAGCAGGCUACAGCUAGAGGAGAAACCAUCUUACAAUGAGACAGAAAAAGUCAAGCCAGGUAACGGGAUAUAGGACUUUUGGCUACUUGCCCCUUAUGAGGAAAGGAUCUCAGCCCUGACUGCCUCAAGCAGCUGACUGACCACGUUGAAGAUUCCAGGCUUCUAUCAGAGGUUUCCCUUGACUAACUGUGCCAGAUCCCUCUGAGUGAAAACUAUUUCCCUUGAAUUUACUGAAGACAGGUGACAACUAUAACCGGCUUUUUUUCCUAUGCUUCUGUGCCAAACAGAAAAGCAAACUACCAUGGCAAUGCAAGGCAAGGAAGAAAUCUAUGAGCAUUAGGUAGGCUCAGAAUGACUGAUGACAGCAAAGCAAACAGCAAGCUGGGUGCAGUUCACGAGAUGGGUCCAUGAACCCAUAGUCUCCUAGCUGCAGCAUUAUAAUGAUUGUUGCCAGUGUGCCCCAAGGGACAGCACUGAAGUUCUGAAACAUACUGUAAGUUGAUUAAGAUGUACCUUGAGGGUUCUUGGAGACUGGCGUAUGUUAGAUGAUAAUGUUGAUGGAUGUGGGAUGUGGCUGGUAUCAAUAAAGCGUGCCCUGAAAUGUUGGUGUCCAGUAUCCAAAAUGGCAGCCUUUGGAGUUAAAGUUGCCACACACCCACUUUGACUUUCAAAUCAGAUUUCUCAUCAAGCAACUUGUUUGGACAGUUCAGUAAGAUCAUAGGCUAAAUAUUAAUGAGGCAAAUUGUGAUAUUUAACAAGCUAUAAUUCCCCCUUAAUUGGCAAUGCACAGUUGCCGAG